UCCCCAUUGACUUUCUGACAUCUCUGACUAGUCUUUUGCGAAUUGUUCACACUGCGGACAUUGUUUGGAGCUGCGUGCAUUUGUAGCUGGCGGCAGGAUUACGGCACAUCUAAGGCAACUGCUCUCUAUUCAAGAUAUUGAUGACCGAAUCGGGCAACUUGUCACUCAAAUUAUGCAAACCCAAAGGCCUAAAAGGAUGCCGCUGGCGGCCGAGUAUCAAAGGGCAGCCACUGCUCCUGGAUGGAAGGGAUAAUCAUGCUCGCAUGCGUGUCUGUUAAUUUGUUAUAAUAUCACGUAAGAAUUGUCAUCGAAUCGAUUUUUUAUGUUAGUGCCGCAAGGUGACAACUCAAUUUGUCG
Drosophila navojoa is the source of this 357-nucleotide long non-coding RNA. The record is from RefSeq and is a predicted model, not a curated record. NCBI's taxonomy places the organism in Eukaryota, Metazoa, Arthropoda, Insecta, Diptera, Drosophilidae.